GGCAACAUACCCUUCGGGGUGUUGUGGCGCUGACGAGUGGCGGACGGGUGAGUAAUGCUUGGGAAUCUGCCCAGUAGUGGGGGACAACACGGGGAAACUCGUGCUAAUACCGCAUACGUCCUACGGGAGAAAGUGGAGGAUCUUCGGACUUCACGCUAUUGGAUGAGCCCAAGUCGGAUUAGCUUGUUGGUGGGGUAAAGGCUCACCAAGGCGACGAUCCGUAGCUGGUCUGAGAGGACGAUCAGCCACACUGGGACUGAGACACGGCCCAGACUCCUACGGGAGGCAGCAGUGGGGAAUAUUGGACAAUGGGGGCAACCCUGAUCCAGCAAUGCCGCGUGUGUGAAGAAGGCCUGCGGGUUGUAAAGCACUUUCAGUAGAGAAGAAAAGCCAGGGGUUAAUACCCCCGGGUCUUGACGUAACCUACAGAAGAAGCACCGGCUAACUCCGUGCCAGCAGCCGCGGUAAUACGGAGGGUGCGAGCGUUAAUCGGAAUUACUGGGCGUAAAGCGCGCGUAGGCGGCUAGGUCAGUCGGAUGUGAAAGCCCCGGGCUUAACCUGGGAAUUGCAUUCGAUACUGCCUGGCUAGAGUAUGGGAGAGGGAAGCGGAAUUUCCGGUGUAGCGGUGAAAUGCGUAGAUAUCGGAAGGAACACCAGUGGCGAAGGCGGCUUCCUGGCCCAAUACUGACGCUCAGUGCGAAAGCGUGGGUAGCGAACAGGAUUAGAUACCCUGGUAGUCCACGCCGUAAACGAUGAGAACUAGAUGUCGGGAGGAUUUACCUUUCGGUGUCGCAGCUAACGCAUUAAGUUCUCCGCCUGGGGAGUACGCCCGGCAACGGUAAAACUCAAAGGAAUUGACGGGACCCGCACAAGCGGUGGAGCAUGUGGUUUAAUUCGAUGCAACGCGAAGACCUUACCUGGUCUUGACAUCCUCGGAACUUUUCAGAGAUGGAUUGU
RNAcentral lists this ribosomal RNA (957 nucleotides) under uncultured bacterium. RNAcentral describes it as "bacterial SSU rRNA". It matches the Rfam family "Bacterial small subunit ribosomal RNA", at positions 67 to 1014 of the family's 1533-position model. The record is from RNAcentral.